GCGGCUGUGGCUCAGUUGGUAGAGUGUGAAGCACUUGUGAAGCCCUGGGUUCAAUCCUCAGCACCACAUAAAAAUAAAAUAAAGGUACUGUGUCCAUCUACUAAAAAGAUGUUAAAAAAAAAAAAGAACCCAAGGUACUUAUAGAAGAACAAAGCAAAUUCCUUUAAGUUUUAUCUAAAUAUAACAGAAAAUUUAAAAAAUUGUAUACAUGUUUACAUAGUAUUUUUAAAACUGGAAGACAUUUCAGUUUUAUGUUCCUAAAUUUAUUUUUAACUUGCUCGAUGUUAUUUUAAAGUGAGCAUUUUAUCUUGUAUUUUAAGAUUUGUUGGUAGGGGGAGUAUUUUAAACCUUUAGUCUUCCAAAGGUCAUUGUUUUUUCUUUUCAUAUAUUUAAAAACAUUAAGGUAGAUAUUAUGUUUUGUUGCUUGGGAUGUAUGAUGUUCAAAAUUGAAUACAGAGAAUUAUUUUAAGAAUCCUGUCCCCAAAUCAAAAUGUCCUUAAAGUGCCCUGAAAGUUAUUCUAAUAUCAAUUACAGUAAAUGUUGGUGUUUUGUACUGAUAGUACAUGGACUAUUAAAAUGAAGGAGUUUUAAUCUGAAUUAUUGAAGAACUGUACAACUUUGAAUUUAAAACCAUUUAAAAAUUUCUGCCUUAAUUUUAGUCAUCUUCAGUUAUGCCAUAUGACCUAUUUGGGUUUGUAACUGGCAAAGUAAGUAACACAAAGCAUGGAACAGUUUGUCUUUAUAAUACUUUGAGUGAGAAAGGCAGGUGAUCUCGACCUUUUUAUAAUAUGACUAGAAAUAGUUUAUACUGUAUAGGCUGAUGCUGCUUCUUUAAACUGUUGGUUCAAUAUAAUGUGAGAAAGCUUCAGCAGAACAGACUGGACAUUUGAGAAUCAACUUUCCGUUCCUCAAAAUUUCAAAAUCCUAGGAGGAACAAAUGUUAGGAUGGUGGGGGAACAUGAA
RNAcentral lists this long non-coding RNA (963 nucleotides) under Marmota monax (woodchuck). The record is from RNAcentral. Lineage: Eukaryota; Metazoa; Chordata; Mammalia; Rodentia; Sciuridae.